RNAcentral lists this ribosomal RNA (92 nucleotides) under Cohnella lubricantis. RNAcentral describes it as "partial 23S ribosomal RNA". It matches the Rfam family "Bacterial large subunit ribosomal RNA", at positions 2834 to 2925 of the family's 2925-position model. Lineage: Bacteria; Bacillati; Bacillota; Bacilli; Caryophanales; Paenibacillaceae. The record is from RNAcentral.
CCCCUGGAAGAACACCAGGUUGAUAGGCUCGGGGUGGAAGCGCGGCAACGCGUGCAGCUGACGAGUACUAAUCGGUCGAGGGCUUAUCCUAA